UGCUCACCUACCCCUAGAUCCCUGUAUAAGGAGGCGCCCAUUUCUGGCGAAGCGCUUAGGCUUCGGAGCACAACUCCACUGAGCCCUCCAGCGUAAUUAAAGGUUUGUCUCCACCUCUUCAAGUGACUUUCGGAUUCUCAAGUCUUCGAAUUGCAGCAGCAGCGGAUGCGUAUAGCACCGAGCUCUUCACCUUUGCCACAACAGGAUGAAUCUACGUAGAUGGCUUAUUGCCUGGAUGGCCUAAGACCUAAAGAAGGAUGGGUCCGCUUCUGUUCUUCUUCAGCAAAGCUCCAGUCUUCGCCUUCACCUUGGUCGUCAUCUCCUCCUGGCUUCCAGCAUAGACGCUUCAGCUUCCAGUGCAGAUCCAUCAGCCUUUCGGAGUAGACUCUUCACACAUCCGUCGCAGACCCAUCGGCCUCCUGACACAAACUCACACAGGACACUGCAGUGAGCUCCAGAGCUUCGACUGGAUCCUUUGGUCUCCAGGGUCCAGACAGACCCUCUGCCCUCUUCCUCAUCUGACUCUGGCAUGCAGCUCCUGCUUUGGUGGGCCUUCACUUGUGGACUGUGGCUUAUGAACUGAGUGAGUUGUGGACUGUGGGCUUGUGGACUGAGCCAGCUGUCACACCAUAGACCAGAUGCUACUGCUUGCCAGAAAGCCUGGUACUUGUCGCAGAAAUGAGAGGUAGGCUCUGCUCCCAAGGAGCGCACAGAUCCAAAGUGGAAGACUUGGUGUUUGAAAUGGCUGUGGUGAGUCCUCUACCAUUUGUCAUUGCAAGCCAACGAGAUGUUUUCUCUCAGGCAGGACAUCAGGAAUAUCCCCCAACACGCACACCAUGCACACCCAUAUGCACAGGCACCCAUGCGCACACGUGUAUGCGUAAGUCAAGGCCAUAGAUAGGAAUGGAGGGCAUCUCCCAAGCUUUCAACAUGGAUCCUAGAAUGAGAGGGACAUGGCCAGGAAGUAUGUUUCAGGCUUUGCUGCUCUCCUUCUCCAGUAUCUGUCUAGACACUGCUUUAGGUACUUACACACUAUUUAAAAAUACAUAAUAGUAUAUAGUAAUU
Heterocephalus glaber (naked mole-rat) is the source of this 1065-nucleotide long non-coding RNA. NCBI's taxonomy places the organism in Eukaryota, Metazoa, Chordata, Mammalia, Rodentia, Bathyergidae. The record is from Ensembl.